UCUGCUCUUAGGACAUUCUUAUCAUCCUCAGUUUUCAUUGUUUAACGUGGUAGGACCGCUGGGACCCAUCUAAUUCUUUUCGUCAAGAAUGAAAAAACUUACGUGCAUACCCAGAAAAAAGGUGGGACCCAAUCUAACGAAAAUGUCCCUAACCCCAAUCUCGAGUCCAUAGCUUCUUGGGGGUUGGGUUGGACCAAAUAUCAAACACUUGUUCUGCACAAAUUCACUGCCCCAAAUUAUAUGACCUGAUGAAGGGGUUUUGGCAAAACUUAACACGCAAAUUGUACUUUACCUUUUUGAAAAAUUGCUAAUUUUGGUUGAGAGAAUGAUGGGAACCGUAACUGGGGAGACCCCCUUAAGCCAUAAGGCCAUAUCCCAUUUUUGUUGUCCUAUCAAAAUGACAGCAGAAUCUUCAUCAGCAACCAUGCAACUUGGAUAAUAAUAAAGGAGGCUGCUACAUGGGAGAUGCAGCAUCUUCUUUCUUUCUUUCUUUUUUCUUUUUUAAUUAUUUUUUUUCUCUCUGGUUUCUUAUGGAUGAGAUGAGCAUGCCACGUUGUGAACACAUAGGGCUGCACUGAUUAUUAUAAGCUAAUGCAUAUCCAAAUUUCUAGCUUCAUUGUGGGGUCUGGUUCUAUUUACUUGGGGUUUGAUCAAACUUUGUGGGACGUCUCUUACACCAACUGUUCAUUUAUGAAUCAUGAGAAUGUAUGGUAUGGUGUUGCCCUCAAGCAAAAGGGUUGUUGGACACGCAAAGUCAAUCCAAGUAGCCAGCCCAUUAUAUGAGAAAUACUGAGAUUUAUAUCAUUAUUUUACAAUAAUUAAGAAAAAUAGUUUCCAGGAAUCUUUCUCAGAGAAAAAGAAACCACUGGUAUGCCUUCAAAUUCAAGAAUCCAAAACUAACUGAUUGAGAUUUUAUGGAAGUACAUUAGUUGUGAUGAUGGAUUAAGAAAGAUUAUCUUUUAAGAAUAUAAUGACAUGAUCAUUUUGAAUUGACUGCUAAUAUUAUUGAAUCAGAUUAGGUCUGCUAAGUGAAGUUUUAACAAACUUUUCAUUUUUAAUAAUCAUGAAUCAUGUCUUCUUCUUAAUUUUUAAUUGUGGGUAUUGGGCUGUUGGCUAAAUUAAACAUCCUAGAAGUUGCUAUUCUUGAAUCUUUGAUUAGUUAUGGAGCUUUGCUUCACAUUGAAACUAUUGCAAUUAGAUUUGUUCAACUACCCACCGGCCUUUUUAUUUCUCCCAAGAAAGUCCACAGCAAGAAACCCCAGGCUGCCUUAGUCAUUGACAAAAUUUAGCUGCAAUUUUCCACCGGCUACUUCUCAACUACAAUUGUACUAUUUUCUUUGUUAGGGAAGUCUAAUAGAACUUUCAUCAAACAUAAUUUGUGCAUAUUUUGGUUGGGUUGGGGCCAGAGCUUUCCUCAUCUC
This 1421-nucleotide long non-coding RNA is filed under the name Manihot esculenta (cassava). Its description in RNAcentral is "long non-coding RNA (MESC_LNC009926)". Lineage: Eukaryota; Viridiplantae; Streptophyta; Magnoliopsida; Malpighiales; Euphorbiaceae. The record is from RNAcentral.